Gastrolobium bilobum is the source of this 1685-nucleotide long non-coding RNA. RefSeq lists it as uncharacterized. The record is from RefSeq and is a predicted model, not a curated record. NCBI's taxonomy places the organism in Eukaryota, Viridiplantae, Streptophyta, Magnoliopsida, Fabales, Fabaceae. The transcript is spliced from 3 exons.
UCUCCCUCCCUACGUUUGUGCGCAUAGGAGUAGUAUUACAAAUCUGAGUUAGAUACACUUGGUCAGAAUGUUGGGCAAACCUUGCUGUCUUCUCCUUCCUCAUAGGCGCAAAGAGAAGAAGGCCAACCCGAAGACUGAAUACUUUCCCGUUAGCUUUCUUCUUCCCUUAGACACUGAAGUGAGAGUCUCCAAACUGAUUGCUCACUCCAUGGAUUAGAAGCAAACCAAAUCUCUCUUAUUCCUUGUGACCGUGAGCUCUUUUGAGAGUAACACAAAAGAAAACCUCCGAGACUUUACAACACUCUCAUCCCUUGCAGAAGCCUUGAACUUCAAAGGAAAGGGCAUUACUCUAGCAAGGAGUUGAGGUACUGCCUCUCCGUACAUGCACCUCACCAUUUCUCUCUGUCCCUCCAUGGAACUUCCCCUCGCAUGCAGCCGAAGCCAGAACUAUAGGAGCGCUGAGAGAGGGCAGAAGCUGCUACAUCUUUUGGUUGCUGCCCCGUGACCAUUUUAGAACCUUUGGUCACAUGUAAUAAGGUGCACGUAAUUCUUAUUGAGUGGGCUGAAUUUUGGUGCUGUUGAUUAUUGCAUGGACAUAAGGAGGACGUAAAAGCUUUUGAGGACUUGGAUAUUUGCUGUUGGCUUCUACUGUUUUGGGCAUGCUGCUAUUGAUGUGAUAUUUUAUGGAUGACUGUAUGAAAUUGAGAAGCUUUUAUUACUGUGAACUAUGAUUUUAUUAUUGCAUUACGAUUUUAUGACCAGCAAGUAUUUUGGAAACAGAUGUUGAAAUUUGCGAAAAGGAUUUUGACAUGUUAUCUAAAUGCUGAGUUUUGAAAAGUCUUUGCGAGCACUUUGUAAGUUGUCGUACUGGGGCUAUGGACCUCCGAUUUUCUUAUAAUUUAUAUGCACGCGUAGCCCCAGGUGUCUAGUUUCAUUAUAUAUAAACCUUGCAAAGAAAUUCUGAAAGAUCGAUUUAUUAUGAAUUUUACCAGCCAGGACAUUUGUGAUAUUUCCACUAUUUUCUCUCUUAUUUUGCGAGUUAUGUUUCGAGGGGCAAACGAACUCCAAACCACUAUUAUUUUAUAUGAACGUGAAGCCUCAGAUGUCUAGUUUCCAGAUUACAAAGAAUAUAUUUUUCAAUUGUUGAACUGGAUUUUAUAAGAAUUUUUAAAGACAGCAAGGUCUAUCAGGAAAUUUAUAUUUUUAGUAAGUUGAAGAAAUUUUGCGUAUUCUGAUUUUAGUAAUUAACCAGAUCCCCUCUUUAGUUUUAAUUGGCAAUGUAAAAGCGAUUUUUUUUCAGUCUCUAAAAUACUAUUAAAGAACUAUAAUUCCGCUUAGCAAACAACUCUCUUGGAGGCCUACAAGAGAGGGUGUUACAAGACCUCAGGCGGCAGGAGGCCGGAGCUGAGUUAGAUUGCUGUUAUAUUAUGCUGCCGUGAUUGGAUGCUGGAUUUGCAUGUUGUUUAUAUGCUUAUAGCUUCAGUUAUGUUCAUGGAGUUUUAUGUUGAGACUGGUUGCUUACUAUGUUUAUUUGGUGAGCAUGGGGAUUGUCCAUGACACAUAGUAUUGUUAUGUCUUGAGUCUUUUGGUGUUGUAAUAAUGUAUUAGGAUAUUGUCCGGAUUACGAGAUGUAAUACCGUGAUGUAGAUACACACUUUAUUUAUAUAUUGAGGUAUUUCAGUAGA